GACGAACGCUGGCGGCGUGCUUAACACAUGCAAGUCGAACGGAAAGGCCCUGCUUUUGUGGGGUGCUCGAGUGGCGAACGGGUGAGUAACACGUGAGUAACCUGCCCUUGACUUUGGGAUAACUUCAGGAAACUGGGGCUAAUACCGGAUAGGAGCUCCUGCUGCAUGGUGGGGGUUGGAAAGUUUCGGCGGUUGGGGAUGGACUCGCGGCUUAUCAGCUUGUUGGUGGGGUAGUGGCUUACCAAGGCUUUGACGGGUAGCCGGCCUGAGAGGGUGACCGGCCACAUUGGGACUGAGAUACGGCCCAGACUCCUACGGGAGGCAGCAGUGGGGAAUAUUGCACAAUGGGCGGAAGCCUGAUGCAGCAACGCCGCGUGCGGGAUGACGGCCUUCGGGUUGUAAGCCGCUUUCGCCUGUGACGAAGCGUGAGUGACGGUAAUGGGUAAAGAAGCACCGGCUAACUACGUGCCAGCAGCCGCGGUGAUACGUAGGGUGCGAGCGUUGUCCGGAUUUAUUGGGCGUAAAGGGCUUGUAGGUGGUUGAUCGCGUCGGAAGUGUAAUCUUGGGGCUUAACCCUGAGCGUGCUUUCGAUACGGGUUGACUUGAGGAAGGUAGGGGAGAAUGGAAUUCCUGGUGGAGCGGUGGAAUGCGCAGAUAUCAGGAGGAACACCAGUGGCGAAGGCGGUUCUCUGGGCCUUUCCUGACGCUGAGGAGCGAAAGCGUGGGGAGCGAACAGGCUUAGAUACCCUGGUAGUCCACGCUGUAAACGGUGGGUACUAGGUGUGGGGUCCAUUCCACGGGUUCCGUGCCGUAGCUAACGCUUUAAGUACCCCGCCUGGGGAGUACGGCCGCAAGGCUAAAACUCAAAGGAAUUGACGGGGCCCCGCACAAGCGGCGGAGCAUGCGGAUUAAUUCGAUGCAACGCGUAGAACCUUACCUGGGUUUGACAUGGAUCGGGAGUGCUCAGAGAUGGGUGUGCCUCUUUUGGGGUCGGUUCACAGGUGGUGCAUGGCUGUCGUCAGCUCGUGUCGUGAGAUGUUGGGUUAAGUCCCGCAACGAGCGCAACCCUUGUUCACUGUUGCCAGCACGUUAUGGUGGGGACUCAGUGGAGACCGCCGGGGUCAACUCGGAGGAAGGUGGGGAUGACGUCAAGUCAUCAUGCCCCUUAUGUCCAGGGCUUCACGCAUGCUACAAUGGCUGGUACAGAGAGUGGCGAGCCUGUGAGGGUGAGCGAAUCUCGGAAAGCCGGUCUCAGUUCGGAUUGGGGUCUGCAACUCGACCUCAUGAAGUCGGAGUCGCUAGUAAUCGCAGAUCAGCAACGCUGCGGUGAAUACGUUCCCGGGGCU
This 1346-nucleotide ribosomal RNA is filed under the name uncultured bacterium. RNAcentral's name for it is "partial 16S ribosomal RNA". It matches the Rfam family "Bacterial small subunit ribosomal RNA", at positions 28 to 1381 of the family's 1533-position model. The record is from RNAcentral.